RNAcentral lists this transfer RNA (74 nucleotides) under Culex quinquefasciatus (southern house mosquito). RNAcentral describes it as "tRNA-Pro". The record is from RNAcentral. Lineage: Eukaryota; Metazoa; Arthropoda; Insecta; Diptera; Culicidae.
GCAGUGCGUGGCCGAAUGGUUACGCUGUCCUCUUUGGAAGCGGAUGAUUCUGGGUUCGAUUCCCAUCUGCUGCA